This 478-nucleotide long non-coding RNA is filed under the name Ursus americanus (American black bear). Its description in RNAcentral is "lncRNA (ENSUAMG00000015636.1)". The record is from RNAcentral. Lineage: Eukaryota; Metazoa; Chordata; Mammalia; Carnivora; Ursidae.
CCGGGGUGUGCAAAGAGGGAAGUCCUGCUGGUGUGUAACUGAAAACACUUUGUUCUCCUUCAGAUCUGCAACGUGCUCGUGUCUCUUCUGAUUUUCUUAUGGCGGCCGUCACCUCCACUAUGGAAAGAAAAAUGAACGACCCAUUUCAGUAGACUGUGACACUUUGGCGACCUGCAAAUUCUACACACUAGAGUUCAUAUUUUACACAAGUGCCGGAUCCCCAAGCCACGGACUCUCAUUCCUCCCGGCAACAUCCAGCUCCCAGCAGAAGACAGAGACCCUGUCAGAGGACGAAGACUCCUAAUGAAGAUGCAUUACAGGUGAUAUUUACGGUCAGCCCCUUAGGAAAACAGAAAUGAUUCAUGAAUAAUUUCAUGGAAGUCACACCAAAAAGAGAGUCAUAAUUUUCUCAAGUCCACGUUGUGGCCACUUGCAGUCCCACAAGUCACCACAGCUUCACUUCAAAGGGAUGAGGCAG